CGCGUAGGCGGAUAUUCAAGUCAGAGGUGAAAGGCUACGGCUCAACCGUAGUAAGCCUUUGAAACUGGGAAACUUGAGUGCAGGAGAGGAGAGUGGAAUUCCUAGUGUAGCGGUGAAAUGCGUAGAUAUUAGGAGGAACAUCAGUGGCGAAGGCGGCUUACUGGACUGAAACUGACACUGAGGCACGAAAGCGUGGGGAGCAAACA
Molecule: ribosomal RNA, 206 nt
Filed under: uncultured bacterium
Lineage: Bacteria
Description: partial 16S ribosomal RNA
Rfam family: Bacterial small subunit ribosomal RNA
Source: RNAcentral